CGCAUAAUAUAAGGCAACGCUGCAGAGAGGAAUGAAUCUUGCAGAAAACGAAGUUGAUAGGCGAAAAGCAAUUGCUAUAGUUUAAGCACGUUUGAGCACGAAAACCUACACAUGGAGCGUCGUUUCUGCGUUCUUCUGGCCUUCUUCCUCGUCACCUUAAUUUUGGUAGAAGGCUUUGUACGGCGAGGCAAAGGAGGAUGCUCAAAGAAACCAAAAGGCGGAAAUUGCGCAGCACAGAACAAAACUUGGUAUUAUGAUCCCAAAACCAAAACUUGCAGAGCGGAAUUACUAGGAGUCUGUCCUGGGGCAAAGAUGCGAAACAGUUAUCCUACAUGCGAAGAAUGCCUGAGGAACUGCAGACGUGACUACAAGGCUGUACAAGUUCAGAAGAGCUGCAUACUUCACGCAUAAAUUGCAAGAAGCUCAUCGAAAAUGGAUAAAGCCGCCUGGCUUUAAUAUAAACCCACUUUGAAGGAGACACAAUAAUAUUAAAAUAAAAGGAAAAGUAACAGUAUAAGUGAUUUGUAACGAAUAGCCAUGCAAUUA
Molecule: unclassified non-coding RNA, 546 nt
Filed under: Dermacentor andersoni
Lineage: Eukaryota; Metazoa; Arthropoda; Arachnida; Ixodida; Ixodidae
Description: kunitz-type serine protease inhibitor A-like
Source: RNAcentral